UACGUAGGGUGCGAGCGUUAAUCGGAAUUACUGGGCGUAAAGCGUGCGCAGGCGGUUCGUUGUGUCGGCGGUGAAAGCCCUGGGCUCAACCUAGGAAUUGCACUUGAUACUGUUUGGCUUGAGUUCGGGAGAGGUGAGUGGAAUUCCCAGUGUAGAGGUGAAAUUCGUAGAUAUUGGGAAGAACACCAGUGGCGAAGGCGGCUCACUGGACCGACACUGACGCUGAGGCGCGAAAGCGUGGGGAGCAAACAGG
Molecule: ribosomal RNA, 253 nt
Filed under: uncultured bacterium
Lineage: Bacteria
Description: partial 16S ribosomal RNA
Rfam family: Bacterial small subunit ribosomal RNA
Source: RNAcentral